This 503-nucleotide ribosomal RNA is filed under the name Onthophagus gibbulus. RNAcentral's name for it is "partial 16S ribosomal RNA". It matches the Rfam family "Bacterial large subunit ribosomal RNA", at positions 1844 to 2597 of the family's 2925-position model. Lineage: Eukaryota; Metazoa; Arthropoda; Insecta; Coleoptera; Scarabaeidae. The record is from RNAcentral.
UUUAAAGUCUGACCUGCCCUAUGAUAUUUAUAUUAAAUGGCUGCGAUAGCUUGAUCGUGCAAAGGUAGCAUAAUAAUUAGUUUUUUAAUUGGGAACUGGUAUGAAAGGUCGAACGAGAAAAAAACUGUCUCGAUUUAAAUUAAAUUAGAAUUUUAUUUUUAAGUAAAAAAGCUUGGAUGAUUUUAAAAGACGAGAAGACCCUAUAGAGUUUUAUAUUUAUUAUAAUUUUUUUUAGUUUAAGAAUUUAAUUUUAAGGAUUUAUAAUAAAUAUUUAAUUGGGGUGAUUGAAAAAUUAAAUAAACUUUUUUUAAUAAUUUAACAUUUUUAUAUGAAAAAUUGAUCCAUUUAUAUAUGAUUAAAAGAUUAAAUUACCUUAGGGAUAACAGCGUAAUUUUUUUUAAGAGUUCAUAUCGAAAAAAAAGUUUGCGACCUCGAUGUUGGAUUAAAAUUAACUUUUGGUGUAGGGGCUAAAAUAGUUGGGUCUGUUCGACCUUUAAAAUUUU